RNAcentral lists this long non-coding RNA (1505 nucleotides) under Homo sapiens (human). Its description in RNAcentral is "HSALNT0056766". Lineage: Eukaryota; Metazoa; Chordata; Mammalia; Primates; Hominidae. The record is from RNAcentral.
UAAGAGGGGAGAGUGCCUAUGUGCACUGCUCUCAAAGUGUGGUUGUUACAUAGAAAAGCGGAGAAAAAGUAGAAGGUAAUUUGGAUUUUGACCUUCAAAAGGUCUAAACAAAAGCUAAAUAAGCACUGGCCUAGAAAUCAGCGAUAUCAAAACAAUUACAACUCAUCCAGCUCUCAGAUGCUUUGAGAAAUUCAGAGGAUAUAUGACAAUAACUGUAAACUAGUGGAGAAGAAAUAGAAAAAAAGAAGGGUACACAGACAAGAUUUGAACAUGGAUAGUUAUUGCUCCGAUCUUCGAUAAAACCAUUUGAAAAUGGACAGAGUGUAAAAUAAACCUGAAAUCAUGAAGUAAAACCUGUUUGGACUAAGUUUACAAUUAAUUAGCUAAAAGUAUGUUGUUGCUCCUAAAUAGAAAAAAGUUUGCGUUAGGAAAGUUCAAUUAAAAAAAUAGAGGACAUCUCUAUAUCUCCCUCAUAUUUGUGGAUUUUGCAAUUUGUAUGCACUGUAGUAUUCCAUAUUUUCCUCAUCUUGCUUGAUGUAUUCUUAUCAUUACUGUACAUGAGUUGAGAGCACAGCAGAGUCAGAUUGCCUGAGUUUAAAUCCUGGCUUGACACCUUAUUAGCUGUGUGACCCAAGGCAGAGAAACUUGGUCUUUCUAUGGCUCAGCUUACUCAUCUGUAAAAUGGAGAUAUUUAGAUUACCUACCUAACAAGUAUAUUAUAAAGAUGUAAACUAAAAACAAAAUCAUAAGCUUCUCCACUUAACAGAGAGGGCAGCCCCAGAAAACAAUAAACUGAAUUUCUGACCAUGUUGGAAUGGGAGGUCAGACAUGCCUCAUUAUCCCCCCUCCCUUUUGUGGUUUAGACACAACAACACAGCACCAUUAAUGUUAAAAUAGAUAUUAUGAGAGACAAAGAAGAUUAUUCGUGGCAAUAAGAUACCAAAUUAUAAACAAGACCUAAGACCAUGCCCAGGAAGGAAGUGUUAAACCACACACCCCUACACUUAAAGAAUAAACUAUGUUCUAACUGCUACAAGGUUUCUCCUUUUCUCUAGCAGCUAAACAAGCAUUGGCAUAGAGAUAAGCAAUAUUAAAACAAUUACAACUCAUCCAGCUCAGGGAAACUGAUUAACUGACUCUGUGUUCCAACAGCCAUAACUAGAGCUUUGAUUGGACAAGAGACUGAUUUCAGUAACUUUGUCCUGAACAGACCACGUUGUCCCAUAGAAGUGAUGUUUAUGGUUUCUUUUGAAUAAACAUAGAAAUUGACCCUCCCACUCUUAAAAUUUGAAAAAAUUACAGUUGUCUUAACUGAGUUCCUUUCUCAGGAUACCAACCAUCAGUCUUCCCAGAUGGUAUCAAGAUCACAGCAUUUGGUCAAUGAGGAGCCAGACCCCUCACCUGUCACGGUUGCCUGACUGUUCACCUGCUUCCUGUUGACCAACUCCUCUUCCUUUUUCUUCCCUAAUUUCUGUUUUUCUGCAUGUAGUUACAUUUCUUUCCUG